GGCCAGUUAGCUCAGUCGGUUGAGCAUGAUGCUAACAACACCAAGGCUGCGGGUUCGAUUCCCGCUCGGUCCC
This 73-nucleotide transfer RNA is filed under the name Apaloderma vittatum (bar-tailed trogon). It matches the Rfam family "tRNA". From Rfam's summary of the family: Transfer RNA (tRNA) molecules are approximately 80 nucleotides in length. Their secondary structure includes four short double-helical elements and three loops (D, anti-codon, and T loops). Further hydrogen bonds mediate the characteristic L-shaped molecular structure. tRNAs have two regions of fundamental functional importance: the anti-codon, which is responsible for specific mRNA codon recognition, and the 3' end, to which the tRNAs corresponding amino acid is attached (by aminoacyl-tRNA synthetases). tRNAs cope with the degeneracy of the genetic code in two manners: having more than one tRNA (with a specific anti-codon) for a particular amino acid; and 'wobble' base-pairing, i.e. permitting non-standard base-pairing at the 3rd anti-codon position. Lineage: Eukaryota; Metazoa; Chordata; Aves; Trogoniformes; Trogonidae. The record is from Rfam by way of RNAcentral.